Molecule: non-coding RNA, 1501 nt
Organism: Peromyscus maniculatus bairdii (prairie deer mouse)
Lineage: Eukaryota; Metazoa; Chordata; Mammalia; Rodentia; Cricetidae
Source: RefSeq, a predicted model, not a curated record
UAUAGAGUCUUAAAAAGGGGGAUUUAAAAAGUCCCCAUCCCUGCAGAUGUCCACGGAAUCAGAAAGUGUUUGGGGGAGAGGAGAGGAGAGGAAGCCCCGGUGACCCCGUGAGCUGCAGAGACUGCUGACCCCCUCACAGCUCAGGAUCUCACUGUGGAAAGCAACAGGAAGCAUGGCCGUGGGUCCCAGGGGUCCCCAGCACAGGGGGGGCAGGAGACAUCCAAGCUGGGUUCUGCUGUCUUCCCACAGUGGCUCCCAGAAUAAUCAGAAUAAGGCUGAUUAUUGGAAUCAAUCCCAGGUUUUCCCAGGCGCCCUGGAGGCGGCCGCAUCCCAUGUAGAGGGAAGAGGAGAGGCAAGGGGGUGUGGGCAGGUCCUCCAAAGACUGUCCUCAGGUCCAGCCCCUCUUCCCCUGGGUCUCUCUUUUGUUUUCUUUCUCCUCCUCCUCCUCCUUCCUCCUCCUCACUGUUUUUCUUACAGCCAUGGUUUCCCUCUCUGAGGUCCGAUCUCCUCCAGCUGCCCAGGGUGCCUCUUUCUUCUCUGCCCUCCCCUGGCUGCUCCUCUGCCUUUCUCUGCCUUUCUCUGCCUCUCUCACCACCCGCUCAUCCUGGUCUGCAUUAUUUUUGCGAGUGUCUCUCCAUCUCUACCCCUGGAUCCUGGAGCUCUCAACUCCUCUCUCCUUCCCUCCCCACCCCCCCUCCCACCCCAUUGCCUCCUCCUGCAGCGUGGGGGUGGCUCUGUGGGAUCCAGGCAUCAGGAGACAAAUGUACCCGGGCUGGUAACCAAGGAAGUCGUUUCCUUAGCAACAAAAUCUACAGGCAGGGGCUGCACUGCCCUGUCCCUUAGCUCUGCUAUUACAGUAACAGGAUAAAGGAAGAGGGAAGGAAAAAAAAAUGAGAAAGGGAAAGAAAGAUGGGGUUUCAGGCUGAGUGCCUCAGUGUGACACCGCUGUGGUCCCUCCAGGAAGGGACAAUGCUCCGGCACCAGCUCAUUGUCGGAUGCUUUGGGAACACUCAAAAUUUGAGGCGCAAAGUGGGUGAGAGCUGAGGGAGGCAGAGUGGAGGGGGUAAGCACCUGGAGGACUAGACUACAGGUUGGAUGUGUAGAAAAGACAAAAAAGGCAACCGGGGCCUGGAGCUCCCAGGCUCAGCCAUCCCCAGACACCAGGGGGAUCCUGUGACUGAAUGAGAACACAGUGAGGGGACAAGGUCACAGGUGAAGGUGAAGCCUUCUGAAAUGUUUUAACUCAGCAGACGCCCCAGCGUCCACCAACUCAGGAGCUAAGCCUGUCAUCAGAACGCACCCCAGGCCUCCAGCCAGGGCUCCUCCACCAGUGUAUCCGGAAAGUGUCUCCAUCUGUGACUGGCCUUUUCUAUUGCUAUGAAAACUUCAUGAAACAGCUUCCAUGUUGGAACAUGGAAUCUGGGGAGACCUAAACCUGUGUUCCCGGGCCACGGUCACUCCUAUUGGGCUCCAGAAUAAACCCUCCCUUCUUUGGAAGUGA